GACAGCAAGGUGGCACAAACUUGGAGUAGAUUAUUACAAACCUUACAUAUUGUAUUUGUUGAAAUAAUAUAAAAUUUUAUCCUUUCAGGAGAGACAUUUAUCACUCCAUGACUAAACAGUGCUAGAGUAUUUUAAUACUUAAUUCUUUGUUUCCUAUGAGGGAGAAAAUACCAUUGAUUAUAGAGUAGCUAUUAGAAGACUUUAGGGUUUAAGAAAUGUGACUAAAAGUCUUCUUGAACAAAUACAUAUAAUAAAAAUGCAUGACUUCCAAAUUCGUAAUCUCAUAUUUUGAGCAUUGCUUACAACAUGUUCAUGUUGUUGCAGAGUACCUGCAUUGAUUUUUAUUUUGUAAUAUACAAGAAGUAAAUAAUUUUUUUGGUAAAUGUGAGUAAUCUCUUGGUGAGGAUGAGUCAGCCACUACCCAAAAGUCUAGCUACCAAGUUAAAAUAAAUGUAUGUCUAGUCAGAUUGAAUUUUAACCUAUAUCUAAACAUUGAUUAUCAAGCAGGCAUAAAAUAAUAUUUAAUUUUUUCUGUAAUCUGGAUGAAGUUCUAGCCACCUGUUGUUAAGACCACAUUUUUUACUAAUAAUUUAUUUGAUGUGAACAAGUCCAUAUUCUGAAGGCACUUUGAGUUAACCUUAUUAGUUUCAUCGAUCAUAUUCAGAAUCCUCCAAUUCAAGAUAAUCCAAGAACUUUAAGAAACAAGUCUAGUGUGUUAGCCUAAGAUUAUAAACUUCACAAUUUCUAAAGUUUUUUUAUUCUGUCCUUGCAAAGGUAAAGAUUGUUUCAAUGACGUGUAGAAAAUUCACGUCUUUGACUCUACUUAUUUAAAAUGUAUACACAAAACAACAACAAAAACAUUUCUAACAUCCAUUAUUCCAGUCAAAAAGCCACUGCUGUUGAUCAGAUAGAGAGAUAAAUGAAGCACUUUCAGCAGCCACAUAUACAGUGGGAUUUUUCUAAUUAGAAUGCUAACUAAAUGCCUCUCAGAUAUAAAUUUAUAAUUAAGAAAUCUGAGUAAUCCUAGAAUGCAACUUUAACUAAUGAGUGUGUACUAUUACAUUGCCUAUGCUUAUUUUAAAGUACACUUCAUACUUCAAACCAUCUGCCAUUCAGGAAUAUAAUUUUUGAGUCCAUAUAGACUCAUGGGAAAAAUAGCUUCUGUCACAUAAGCUAUAAAACAAUGAGCCUGGAAGGGCAACCAUUUAAAGUACUGCACUUGGAAUAUAUCACGAAUGAAAUGCAUGGAUUUUUACAACUUAUUCUUAAUGUUAUAGAGAGAUCACAGAAACCCAAACCAUGGUUUAGGCAAUAUGUUAAUGCUUAAAUUAUGUGUGGGUUCCACAUGUUUUUCCAGAGAUUUACCUUGUAACUUGAAAUGUAUUGAAGGUGAUAGCUCAUGAAUGGAGGACACAUGGCAAGGAUGAUUAAAUUAUCCUCUCUGUUCGAUUUGAGAACAGAAGGAAGCAGUGGGCAAUUUUGUAACUAUCCAGUUCUUGAUAUGAGGAAACAAUCUCAGGCCAUGCUUAGACCAAGACUGGUCUGGAGCAGGUGAGUAGAAUCAAUCUUUGUCAAAUGUCUAUUACUCAGCCUUAAGAACAUGAAAAUGGACCACAAUCUAGGCCAUGUUGCACAGUUUUCAUUCAUAUUUAGAAUUUCAUGUAAGUUUUCUUGUAAGGUUUUUAAGGUUUUGCUAAAUAGGGAAAAUAGAACAAUGCAAAAUCUCAGAGUAUUUCAUUUAAUUUGGUAUAAGGUUGUUUGAAGAAGGAGGAAGAAAAAAAAAACAUAGCAAAGGCUAUUGAUUUAACUUCUUACCCACUUAAUUUACCUUAUUGAGGUAUAACACAUUUUUAUAGACUAUUUAAACAUUAGUAAGAUUUUUUUUUCCCAUUCUCCCAGAAAGAAAAGUCAUAGUAUUGGAUGCAGAUAACAGUAUGUUAAUGAGUUCUUGGGUGAAAAACUAAAUGCUAACUAAAUGGCACAGGUCAAUAUAAAUAUCCAUAUGUUUCAAAGGUUAUAGAAACGUCUCACUAUAGUUUAAAUGAUGAACAAAUUAUUACAUGCGCUUGGGAGUGCCUCAUUAAUUUAUUAAAAUAAAAUCCAGUCAUUAUUUCCAAAAUCACAAGCUUGUUGUUUUUAAUUACUAAAUGAUUAUAAGUACUAAAUGAUUAUUUGUACAAUCUGUUUAAAAGGAAAGAGAGUUAUGGGAGAUCCUAGGAUGCGUUUUUUAAUUUUAUUGGCAUAUAGCUGACUUAAAAUGUUACAUUACGAGUUCCCACUGUGGCAUAGUAUUAAGUAAUGAAUCCGGCAAGUAUCCAUGAGGAUGCAGGUUUGAUCUCUGGUCCUGCUUAGUGGGUUAAGGCUCUGGCAUUGCUGUGAGCUGUGGCAAAGGCCAGCAGCUACAGCUCCAAUUUGACCCCUAGCUUGGGAACUUCCAUAUGACACAGAUAUGGCCCUAAAAAGCAAACAAAAACAAAAGCAAACCAAACGAAAACAAAACAAAGAACAGUUGCGUUAGUUUCAGCUAUACAGCAAAGUGAAUCAGUUACACACAUACCUAUAUCCAUUCUUUUUUCCUAGACAGGUUAUGACAAUCUAUUGAAUAAAUUUCCCUGAUCUAUAAAGUAAGUUCUUGUUAAUUAUCUAUUUUAUACUGUAGUGUGUACAUGUUAUUCCCAUCCUCCUAAUUUAUCUCUCUCCCCUAUGGUUUUCCCUAUGGUAACCAUAAUUUGAUUUUGAAAUCUGUGAGUUUGUUUCUGUUUUAUAAAUAAGGUUUUUUGUAUCAUUUUUAUUAAAUUCCACAUAUAAGUGAUAUCAUAUAUUUGUCUUUCUCUGUCUGACUUACUUCACUUGGUGUGAUAAUCUCUAAAUACAUUCAUGUUGCUGCAAAUGACGUUAUUUUUUUCUAUUUUAUGGCUGAGUAGUACUCCAUUGUAUAAUGUACCACAUCUUCUUUAUCCGUUACUCUAAAAUGUACAUUUAGGUUGUUUCCAUGUCUUGGCUACUGAGAAUAGUGCUUCAGUGAACAUUAGGGGUGCAUUUAUCGUUUCAAAUUAUGGUUUUCCCUAAAUGACCAGUAGUGGGAUUGCUGGAUCAUAUGGAAUUUCUACAUUUUUAAGGAACAUCUAUACUGUCUUCCAUAGUGGCUGCACCAAUUUAAAUUCCUACUAACAGUAUAGGGGAAUACCUGUUUCUCCACAUGCUCAUCAGAAUUUAUUGUUUGUACACAUUUUAACAACUGCCAUUCUGACUGGUGAGAGGUGAUACGUCAUUGUAGCUUUGAUUUGCAUUUCUCUAAUACUUAGUGAUGUUGAAUAUAUUCUCGUGUUUUUUUAGCCAUCUGUCUGUCUUCUUUGGAAAAAGAAGGUAUAUUUAGACCUUUUGCCCAUUUUCUGAUUGUGUUGUAUGUUUUCUUGAUAUAAAUCUGUGUGAGAUGUUCGUGUAUUUUGGAGAUUAAUCGCUCGUCAGUUGCUUUGUUUGCAAAGAUUUUUUUUUCCCCUUUCUGUGUGUUAUAUUUUCAUUUUUUUUAUAGUAUCCUUUGCUGUGCAAAAGCUUUUAAAUUUAAUUAGGUUCCAUUUGUUUGUUUUUGUUUUUAUCCUCAUUAGUCAAGGAGGAGGAUCAAAAAAGAUAUUUCUGCAAUUUAUGUCAAAGAGUGUUCUGCCAGUGUUAUCUUUUAGGAGUCUUAUGGUAUCUGGCCCUAUGUUUGUCUUUAAUCCAUUUUAAGUUUAUUUUUGUUUACAGUGUUAGAAAAUGUUCUAACUUCAUUCUUUUACAUGUAGCCAUCCAGUUUUCCUAGCACUAUUUAUUGAAGAUACUGUCUUUCUUCCAUUGUAUAUUAUUGCCUCCUUUGUCAUAUAUUAGUUGACCAUAGAUGUGUGGGUUUUUUUCUGGGCUUUCUAUCCUGUUCCACUGAUUUAUAUUUCUGUGCAUGUGCCAGUACCCUACUGUAUUGAUGAAUAUAGUUUUGUAGUGUAGUUUAAAGUCAGGCAGCCUGAUUCCCCCAGUUCUAGUUUUCAAGUAUGCUCUGACUAUUUAGGGUCUUUUGUGUUUCCAUACAAAUUUGAAAAUAUUUUGCUAUAGUUCUGUGAAGAAUGUUAUUGGUAAUUUGAUAAGUAUUUCAUUGAAUCUGUAAAUUACCUUUGGUGGUAUAGUCAUUUUGACAAUAUUCUUCCAACACAAGGGCAUUUUUUGAUAUGUAUUCUCUGAUUUUUAUACCCAAGUGGGCUUUGAAUUUAUAAUAGUUUUCAUUUUGCUCUAUUUUCUCCUACAUCCGCCUCAGUUCCUUUAAGGAUCUUUAAUUGAAAAAUAAUUUCUUAAUAAUCAAGCAGGAAGUGGUCCAUAAAUACCUCAAAAACAGCCAAUUUAUAACCUGUAGUAUAUUGCUCCAACUGAAAAAUCCACUAACUUCAACACCAAUUCUUAUGUGAUAACAUAAAAUUCUAAGGGUCUUUAUUUCCAGUAGUUAGCAAUUAACCAUUAAAAAUGGCUCCAGCACAAAAAUGUCAAACCUGAAUAUGAAAUUCAGAUGUGGUCUAGCUUUUCAAUGAAUACAAACCCAUUCUCAACCUAUCACACUCAUCAAUUACAGGACGAUGUUCAAACUAGUAAUGUUGAAUUCAUAAUUAGUUCCUAUGUGAAGGCUAAGGUACAAUAAACUAGUCAGAAAACUUAUUAGACAAAAAUAAAUAUCAACCGUGGGAAACCAUAUUCAAAAGAUGUGGAGAACAGGCAACUUGGUUCUAUUCCUCUGGCAUUCUUCAGAUAUUCAGAAGUAUCUGCUGCCUUCAAACAGUUGAAAAUCUUCACUGUACUUUUGUAAUUUUGAAAGAUUCCCCUGCUUUUCACAUUUCUUUUUCUACUUUUAUCCCAUCUUAAAAUUACCCUUUGAAACUUUUGAACAUGAACAGUGAGACCACAGGGAAAUCAGGCCAUGGAUGAAUUUUUUUCUUUCAUUUUUUAUUUAACCAAAGAAAACUUCAUCUAGCCUCAGAACAUAUGGAAACUUAAUUAAGCCUCAGUCUCCAUGUCUCUGAAGC
This 5036-nucleotide long non-coding RNA is filed under the name Sus scrofa (pig). Its description in RNAcentral is "lncRNA (ENSSSCG00000053046.1)". Lineage: Eukaryota; Metazoa; Chordata; Mammalia; Artiodactyla; Suidae. The record is from RNAcentral.